UACGUAGGGUGCAAGCGUUAAUCGGAAUUACUGGGCGUAAAGCGCGUGUAGGCGGCUCUUCAAGUCAGGCGUGAAAGCCCCGGGCUCAACUCGGGAACUGCGCUUGAUACUGUCGAGCUAGAGUGUGGAAGGGGCGAUUGGAAUUCCGUGUGUAGCGGUGAAAUGCGUAGAUAUACGGAGGAACACCAGAGGCGAAGGCGGAUCGCUGGGCCAACACUGACGCUGAGACGCGAAAGCUAGGGUAGCAAACGGG
This 253-nucleotide ribosomal RNA is filed under the name uncultured bacterium. RNAcentral's name for it is "partial 16S ribosomal RNA". It matches the Rfam family "Bacterial small subunit ribosomal RNA", at positions 524 to 776 of the family's 1533-position model. The record is from RNAcentral.